RNAcentral lists this ribosomal RNA (87 nucleotides) under Chitinophagales bacterium. The record is from RNAcentral. Lineage: Bacteria; Pseudomonadati; Bacteroidota; Chitinophagia; Chitinophagales.
UUCCACCUCUUCCCAUUUCGAACAGAGCAGUUAAGCUCCCCAGCGCCGAUGGUACUACGUAAGUGGGAGAGUAGGUCGCCGCCAACC